GUGGUUGAGCGUUGUGCUUUGCAUUCUUCGGGUGUUUGUACCCCACUCUGCCGGCCGCUAAAUGCCCGAAUUGUGGGCAAUAUCUUGUUAAAAGCAUGAAUUAUUAAGUGGUUAAGCGUGCAGGUAGCACCUCUUCAGCUCAACUGGGAAAGCAGUUUGGCACAUUACAUCUACGAGAAAUGCAGAGAACCAACACCCACUUCUCUGUAUUUAUCUGUCAGUAUUCACUAACCUCUUAUAGACAAACAGAGACAGAAGUUUUGGGAAGAAGGGGAGGAAAGGGACAAUUGAGUGUCUCAGUUACCUGAGCAUCAACAACUAUGCUGACUGGAGUGAUCUUCCACCAGUGAAAUGUAUAUGGCAGUAGAAGAACUGUAACUUAAUCAUAGGAUCUUGACACACCCAUGACCUUACAUUCGUUACGCAAGUGAAUUUCACAGUUGAAUUAUUCCUCGUGUUUCAUCCAUUAAUCUGUGGAGCCCAAUGGUAUGAAUAGAACAUGGACAGACCUGAGUGGAGUUGGCACUGUAUGUUGAUGCCUCCUUUGAGAUAAAUAAUGAUCUUUUUUUGGCAUGUUUACUGUCUGGUUAGCUCUUGGUGCAUUCCUAUAAAUAAGGUAUUUGAAUACUUCUUUUUUUAAGCUGUAAUUUUUUUAGAUGUUCAGCAAUAAACAUUUUCUGCCAGCUGUAUGCUUUCAGGAGCUCGGCUUCAAUUUCCCACAGGUAUCUCUUUUCCUCCCACUGGAGCAUAACGCUUUAAAGUCUCACUGUAAAGUCUUACUGUCUUGUCUUACUGUUUAAGUUCUCCUUAGAUUUUUGAUGGUGGGUGUCUCUUUGUCCUUCUUGUUUGUGUUUAAAUUUUUCUGUGUAUUUCACUAUAAUAGUUCCAGAAAUUUCCAUGAAAAAAAUUACACUGUAAGGGACAAAAAAAAAUUACGGAACAAAAAAAUUACACUGUACUCUACUUACGCUGUAGGGAACCUGCUUUGGCAGGGGGGUUGGACACAAUGAUCUCUGGAUGUCCCUUCCAACCCCUACAAUUCUGUGAUUCUGUGAUACACUGGGCUGAUACAAUUUGUACAUGGUUGCGCUUAUUGACAAGUAAAACCUGAUUUCUUGCAAGCUUUUCAAACUGAAAGAGCAAUUGCUUCAUCUGUUUAAAGUAAUGGGCAUGUUAUUUGUUGUUUGGGUGUAACUUAACUCAUGCAAACACUGAACUUUUAGCACAGCAGUGGAUUAUACGUAGGGUGUAGUAAUCCUUUCCCCCUUCAGAGAGAGACAGGAAGAUAUAUUUGGGAAUCCGAAGAAUAAAUUCUGUGACAUAGGAAUGUGUGGUUACUUGUGCUUGAUGUGACAUAGCAAAAGCAGUUGAAGCAGACAACUGUUUCCAAUAAAAAUUGCUAUUUUGUGUGAUAAUAUUUCCUAAGAGGGCAUUGAUUUCCUCUAUCAAAAGCUGCAAAUAAAUGGGUUGCAAAUGUCUUUGACAAUAUGUAAGUAAUUAAUAUUUGCUGUGGUGAAAUAUAAGCAAUAUUAGAGGUGUAUGUAUUAGGCCAUCUGAACGGGGAAAAAGCAAAGGCUGAGUCCAAAAUACAACCGAGGUGGGGAAUGAGAGCCAGAGACAGUGGGAACAGGAAGUCUGAUGGUGUUUGUUAGAGGCUAUCUGGUCUUUGUGGCAUGUAAAGCUGCCAGCUGCCAGUUCCACCUGGCAGAUAGAAUUAAAUGCCUUCUUCUAGGCAGCAGUAGCAGUAACUUCCAACAAGUUGGGUAUCUUGUAGGUGUGGUGGCCAUGGUUGUGUUUCCUCUAGAUAACGAAGAAAGACUUUGCUGUAAAAGUACACCGUCAUCCUCAAUGAAAAGUCUUCUGUUUCACAGGUGCAUAGUAUCAGUUGUACUGAAAGUUUUUUAUUCACUAUUAGUAAUUCUUGUUACACCGUAUGUGGCCCUUUAUGCUGUUUGAUGGUGUGAAUUCCUUUUGAGGGAGCCCAUCUUCUUGUGUGUUUGUAUAGUUCUUAGCUUCUACAGAAAUACCAAUGAGAAACAACUCAGUGGAGUAAUGGCAGAAUCUGGCCUGUGGCAUUGAUUAUCUUCUUCCUACAUGAAAUUUGUUAGUGUAGCUCCCGUAGUGGCUCUAUGUGGCUCUAUGAUUGUGUCACAAAGAGUUGAAUCAUGCCAGCUCUAACCGGUAAACCUUACUGAUUUAUAUCUGUGAAGUCUCUGGCCAUAAGCUUGUAGCCUUCAAGUCAUGUUAGCUGUUUUGGAACGUACUCUCCUGUGGAAUCUUACAAGAAAACUGCCAUUAAAUCUUCCUUUAGUGUAAAAAUGUCAAUUUUCUAUUAUGCUUUUUCGUCAAAGUUUUUGUUUGUUUCUUUAAUGCAAAUUCAGUUACCUGUUCAUAGUAGAAUUUCCACUGACUUCUGUUUGGGAAGUCAAGCUUUAGAUUUCUGAUAUUAGCUAAUAAGUUGCUGUACAAUCUGUGCCAUUAUCUGUUACUGGUAGGUGGAAGGCAAUGCUGUAAAAACCCAAUUACGCUGCUCUGUGAGAUUUAAAUGCAGAUAUGCAGGAAGAUGGUAAUAUGAACCUACAACACCUAUCACAAAACAUCAACUGAACUAGUCAAGUGUUAAGUCUGAUGCUGAAAAGAAGAUAUCUUAUUUCAAGAACUUGUUUAUUUUACUCAUGACUGGGUAAUAAAAUGACAUGAAUGGUAAUUCAGAAAAACAGCCCUGUGAACCUUUAAUACUGGGUAUGCUUGUACAAUUGGAGCUAUAUAAUUUUUUAAUGUAAACAUAUUUGGACUUUGGCAUGAAACGGGGUGGAUGAGGAAGCCAUGAAAGAGUAGGCAAGGAAGGGCAAUGAGAGCAGAAUUAGGGAAUUUUAUUUGCUGCAGUUAAGGGGAUGAAUAUGAACUGACUAGUUCAAUUUGCUCAAACCCAUGUCAACUCCAAAUAUGUUUUGCUAAAUGGUUUUAAUUGUUCAUAAUUACAUUUUUAUAAAGUUUGAUA
Tympanuchus pallidicinctus (lesser prairie-chicken) is the source of this 3001-nucleotide long non-coding RNA. RefSeq lists it as uncharacterized. NCBI's taxonomy places the organism in Eukaryota, Metazoa, Chordata, Aves, Galliformes, Phasianidae. The transcript is spliced from 3 exons. The record is from RefSeq and is a predicted model, not a curated record.